GUCAUCCGAGCUAACGAACUAAUCUCGCCGGUCACAAGCCUACGAAUCUAUGCUGCAUCUACAUAUCAUAAUAUAUUUUAUCGAACCACUAAGUUUCACAAAUAUUCAUACAUAAUAUUUUUAUUUUAAAAAUCUCUAAUUAAGAGAAAGAAGGCCGUACGAUGGUCAACCCCUCGUGUCACCCGAGCAAAUCUGGUCGGCCACAAGCCUACGAAUCCGGGCUUGCAUCAC
This 231-nucleotide long non-coding RNA is filed under the name Elaeis guineensis (African oil palm). Its description in RNAcentral is "long non-coding RNA (EGUI_LNC020466)". The record is from RNAcentral. Lineage: Eukaryota; Viridiplantae; Streptophyta; Magnoliopsida; Arecales; Arecaceae.